This 834-nucleotide ribosomal RNA is filed under the name uncultured Nitrospira sp. Its description in RNAcentral is "bacterial SSU rRNA". It matches the Rfam family "Bacterial small subunit ribosomal RNA", at positions 8 to 857 of the family's 1533-position model. The record is from RNAcentral. Lineage: Bacteria; Pseudomonadati; Nitrospirota; Nitrospiria; Nitrospirales; Nitrospiraceae.
AGAGUUUGAUCCUGGCUCAGAACGAACGCUGGCGGCGUGCCUAACACAUGCAAGUUGAACGGGCCUUGGAGUGGUAGCAAUACCAUUUCGAGGUUAGUGGCGGACGGGUGAGUAACACGUAGGUAACCUACCCUUAGGCGGGGGACAACUCAGGGAAACUUGAGCUAAUACCGCAUAAAUCGACCGGCUGGGAUGCUGGUGGGGAAAGUGGCAACACACCUAGGGAUGGGCCUGCGGCCUAUCAGGUAGUUGGUGGGGUAAGAGCCCACCAAGCCGAAGACGGGUAGCCGGGCUGAGAGGUUGAACGGCCACACUGGAACUGAGACACGGUCCAGACUCCUACGGGAGGCAGCAGUGGGGAAUCUUGCGCAAUGGGGGAAACCCUGACGCAGCGACGCCGCGUGGAGGAUGAAGGUCUUCGGGUUGUAAACUCCUUUUCUUGGGGAAAAUGAUGAUGGUACCCAAGGAAUAAGCCACGGCUAACUCUGUGCCAGCAGCCGCGGUAAGACAGAGGUGGCGAGCGUUGUUCGGAAUUACUGGGCUUAAAGGGCGAGUAGGCGGUGGAGCAAGUCUGAGGUGGAAUCCUACGGCUUAACCGUAGAACUGCCUUANAAACUGUUUUACUUGAGUCAAUGAGGGGAGGGCGGAAUUCCUGGUGUAACCGUGAAAUGCUANAUAUCGGGAGGAACACCAGUGGCGAAGGCGACUCCCUGGUCUGCUCCUGACCCUAANAGGCGAAAGCUAGGGGAGCGAACGGAUUAGAAACCCCGUAGUCCUAGCUAUAACAAUGGAUACUAGUGUUGGUGGUCCUAACCCUCAUUGCCCAAGCUUACG